GAGUUUGAUCAUGGCUCAGGAUGAACGCUGGCGGCGUGCCUAACACAUGCAAGUCGAACGGAGUUAUUCGAGGAAGUUUUCGGAUGGAAUCAAAUAACUUAGUGGCGGACGGGUGAGUAACGCGUGGGAAACCUGCCCUGUACCGGGGGAUAACACUUAGAAAUAGGUGCUAAUACCGCAUAAGCGCACGGGACCGCAUGGUCCAGUGUGAAAACUCCGGUGGUACAGGAUGGUCCCGCGUCUGAUUAGCCAGUUGGCGGGUAACGCCCACCAAAGCGACGAUCAGUAGCCGGCCUGAGAGGGUGGACGGCCACAUUGGGACUGAGACACGGCCCAAACUCCUACGGGAGGCAGCAGUGGGGAAUAUUGCACAAUGGGGGAAACCCUGAUGCAGCGACGCGCGUGAGUGAAGAAGGUUUCGGAUUGUAAAGCUCUGUUAGCAGAGAAGAGG
Molecule: ribosomal RNA, 451 nt
Filed under: uncultured bacterium
Lineage: Bacteria
Description: bacterial SSU rRNA
Rfam family: Bacterial small subunit ribosomal RNA
Source: RNAcentral